This 983-nucleotide ribosomal RNA is filed under the name uncultured bacterium. RNAcentral's name for it is "bacterial SSU rRNA". It matches the Rfam family "Bacterial small subunit ribosomal RNA", at positions 521 to 1502 of the family's 1533-position model. The record is from RNAcentral.
UAAUACGGAGGGUGCGAGCGUUAAUCGGAAUUACUGGGCGUAAAGCGCAUGCAGGUGGUUUGUUAAGUCAGAUGUGAAAGCCCGGGGCUCAACCUCGGAACUGCAUUUGAAACUGGCAAACUAGAGUACUGUAGAGGGGGGUAGAAUUUCAGGUGUAGCGGUGAAAUGCGUAGAGAUCUGAAGGAAUACCAGUGGCGAAGGCGGCCCCCUGGACAGAUACUGACACUCAGAUGCGAAAGCGUGGGGAGCAAACAGGAUUAGAUACCCUGGUAGUCCACGCCGUAAACGAUGUCUACUUGGAGGUUGUGGCCUUGAGCCGUGGCUUUCGGAGCUAACGCGUUAAGUAGACCGCCUGGGGAGUACGGUCGCAAGAUUAAAACUCAAAUGAAUUGACGGGGGCCCGCACAAGCGGUGGAGCAUGUGGUUUAAUUCGAUGCAACGCGAAGAACCUUACCUACUCUUGACAUCCAGAGAACUUAGCAGAGAUGCUUUGGUGCCUUCGGGAACUCUGAGACAGGUGCUGCAUGGCUGUCGUCAGCUCGUGUUGUGAAAUGUUGGGUUAAGUCCCGCAACGAGCGCAACCCUUAUCCUUGUUUGCCAGCACUUCGGGUGGGAACUCCAGGGAGACUGCCGGUGAUAAACCGGAGGAAGGUGGGGACGACGUCAAGUCAUCAUGGCCCUUACGAGUAGGGCUACACACGUGCUACAAUGGCGCAUACAGAGGGCAGCCAACUUGCGAGAGUGAGCGAAUCCCAAAAAGUGCGUCGUAGUCCGGAUUGGAGUCUGCAACUCGACUCCAUGAAGUCGGAAUCGCUAGUAAUCGUAGAUCAGAAUGCUACGGUGAAUACGUUCCCGGGCCUUGUACACACCGCCCGUCACACCAUGGGAGUGGGCUGCAAAAGAAGUGGGUAGUUUAACCUUUCGGGGAGGACGCUCACCACUUUGUGGUUCAUGACUGGGGUGAAGUCGUAACAAGGUAGCCG